Clupea harengus (Atlantic herring) is the source of this 922-nucleotide long non-coding RNA. The record is from Ensembl. NCBI's taxonomy places the organism in Eukaryota, Metazoa, Chordata, Actinopteri, Clupeiformes, Clupeidae.
GUAUCUCAAGCAAACCACAGAUGGAUAUUCCUCCUCUGACAGAGAAUCAGUCUGCUACUCUUAGUUGUGAGAUGGAACGUGCAUAUUGCUCUGGACCAACUACAAAAAUAGAGUGGAAGGGGAAAGCAGCAGACAAUCAUCCAAUUUUAUCAGGAGUUGGUGGGCUGUCAUCUACUGGGGUCUAUAGUCAAAGAUCAUUUUUUAGUCUCAUAUUUGACUCCACUUACCAUAAUACUGUUCUGACAUGUAUGAUUGUGUACAUGGAUGAUAUCAUCACAGAGCAACAUGUGACCCUGAUCGUAAGAUAUGCUCCCAAGAUAGAGAAUGGUUCUAAAUGCAGCAUCUCUGAGCACCUCUCAACCUGUGUGUGUAUCAGUCAUGGGGUGCCCUUGCCAAUCAUCACAUGGCCACUAGGGUUCACUUCUCAGGACUACAACAUGACCACAUCAGCGUCCGAUGACACUGUGACCAGCACCAUCACCACAUCAGCUGCACUCCUUAGGGGAAAUGACACUGUUAUGUGUCUCAGCAAGAAUGAGCUUGGCCAAGCAAGUAUGACGCUGACAGUUAACUUUACUAAAAGAGGAGAAGAAAAUCCAUUACAGGGACCUGGACACUGCAACCUUCCAUGGACACUGGCAAGCCUGUCAGUUACUUUAAAUGGGUUCCUGUUUUUGGGCCUUUUCCUCCUUGUAGUGGCAUGGAAGCGCAGCAAAGCUGUGACAGGAAAGGAAGAGAGCCAAACGUACUCUUCACUGGCCAGGAGAGAUGAGUCUGUCUACGACACCAUCAGCCAACGACCUUAGGAGAUCAGUGAAGCUAGCGUAUUGGUUUAAUAGUGGACCUUAGGAGAUCAGUGAAGCCAGCGUAUUGGUUUAAUAGUGUACCUUAGGAGAUCAGUGAAGCCAGCGUAUUGGUUUAA